ACAUUCUUGUUAUCUGUAGGAGGGGAAAUAAACCUGCUGGUAAAUUGCAUCAGGGCAUCAGUGAGAUAUUAAUGGUCUCUGCUCAUCAGCAUCUCCAGAAGUGGAUUGGGAGAGAGCAGGAAGGGUAGUGGUGCAGGUGCCUGUUUUGGUAACAGCAGGAAUGAGAUCAAAAACCAAACAGGUCUUAUACUGAGAUUGACCUGAACACCUGCAAAUUCAGUGCUGGGAAGAGACUUGGAAUUCUGAUCAGGAUCUUAAUUCAGUCGGUCACCCAUCUCCAUAAUGCAGGAAACCAACCCCAUAGAUCCAACACUGCAAAACUUUGGGGAAGGGAGGUGUAUUUGGGAAUCUGAAUUUUGUAGCUGCUAUUUCUAUAACUGGCUGAACUAAAUCCUCAGAUCCAAUCACCCAUAAAACUGAGGAGAUCUGAAUUUUGCAGCAUGUACCCAUCUCUGGUCUCUCUGAGUGCUAAGGCCAGAUUCUCAAAGGUAUUUAGGCACCUAGCUCCCAUGGAUAUCAAUGGAAGCUAGGCACCUAAAUAGCUCUCAGGAGCUGGGCCUAAGUAAAGUGCAUUGGAACUGAUUUCCCAGUACAGUCUAAGCCUUCCAGGGAGAUUGUAGUUUCAGGAAGUCUGCUGGGACUGGGAAAGGUGUGUCUUGGGUAUUAUAAUUAGUGCUGCUUGGCAAUUUUCAAUCAAAAUGACUUGCUGAUUGAAAAUGCCAUCUCUACUAAACUGGAAAAAAUUUGAUUUUGUUAAAAAUUUUUGAUUUUUCUCUCAUGCAAAUUUAAAUAAAUUAUUUCAUUUCAGGUUGAUUUGACCUGUCUCAAAAUAUUUCAGAUUGUUGAACUGCUCCGAAACUUUUCUAGGGUACUGUCCCCCCUUUGAUAUCCUGGACCCAUUCCCACCUUCCAGCCUUAAAAGAUUAUAAUGGGAGGCAGUAAGAGGGUGAUCCAUUCCAACUGAGGACAGCAGCAAAGGCAAGAGAUCACCAACCAGAGAGAGUCAGGGGUGUCUCCUCUCAGUUCCACUGGCUGCUUCAGCAUGGGUGAAACCAUGCAGCAUAAACUACUCACCUUUCAGUAGGCUUUAAUUUCUCCUCCUGCUUGGCUCCUGUGGGGAGGCAGCUCAGAGAGUUAACUCAACAGAGAUGGACAAAAGAACUGGAAAAGGUAACUUCGGGCAGGCGGUGGACACAGAAGCUCGGAACAUUGUAUCUAUCUAGAAAGAGGACUGGGGACUCAGAAAAGGGAGGGAACAGAGGUGAUGUGGGGGAGAUUCAGGGUCACUUGUCCCCCAGAUUGGCUGCUUGCCUUGUACUAGAUGGUCUAGAUUAGCAGUUCUCAAAUUUUAGCAACCCAAGGACCCCCAUUUUGAUUUAAAUUUUUCCAAUGGACCCUCAAGCCCCUAGCUCAGCCCCAGUAUGCAGGAGUUGCUGGGAGGGAGGGGGAGAAGUUGAAGGAGGGAGAGGGGUCCACACACUCCAGUUUGAGAAAUGCAGGUCUAACUAAUACUUAGUCCUGCUGUGAGUGCAGGGGACUGGACUAGAUGCCUUCUCAAGGUUCCUUCCAGUCCUAUGAUUCUAUUGAGCAUGAUCAGUAACACUGCUGAAGCUGGCUCCCCUCCCAUACUCCCACUCCCACUCCCACUAUCAGCAGGCACAGGUCAUCUUUGCCUGGGAACAUUCUAAAUUCAGAUCCUUCCCUCAGUGACCAAUCAACACAUUCCAUUCUUUCUUUACAAUGAAAAACUAACAGUGGCGAGGGGAUGACACACAUUUUGAGGCCACUCAAUCUUAUAUUUCAAUGGGUGUAUAAACAAGAGCAGACAUCUGACAGGACCAUAAUCCUUUGAUUUACACAGCGAUUACAGCAAUAAUCCAGGUAUAGAGACAAUUUAUAUUAAAAUGUAUCCAUUUCCUCCUAGACAAAUAUUCAGUUAGCCUAUGUACUGUUGCUAUGUCUGUUCUGGCUGUUUAUUUUCAGAGGUCAUCCUCGGCCAUCUCACUGCAGAGUUGGGUUGCCAUGAUAACACGCUACAGCUUUGAAAUGGAUUCUGUAUGUGACUUUUUUUUUUUUUUUUUUUUUU
Molecule: long non-coding RNA, 2086 nt
Organism: Dermochelys coriacea (leatherback sea turtle)
Lineage: Eukaryota; Metazoa; Chordata; Testudines; Dermochelyidae
Exons: 2
Source: RefSeq, a predicted model, not a curated record